CGGUCUGUAGCUCAGUUGGUAGAGCAGCUGACUCUUAAUCAGCGGGCCCAGGGUUCGAAUCCCUGCAGACCGACCA
RNAcentral lists this transfer RNA (76 nucleotides) under Bacteroidota bacterium. RNAcentral's name for it is "tRNA-Lys". It matches the Rfam family "tRNA". Rfam says of the family: Transfer RNA (tRNA) molecules are approximately 80 nucleotides in length. Their secondary structure includes four short double-helical elements and three loops (D, anti-codon, and T loops). Further hydrogen bonds mediate the characteristic L-shaped molecular structure. tRNAs have two regions of fundamental functional importance: the anti-codon, which is responsible for specific mRNA codon recognition, and the 3' end, to which the tRNAs corresponding amino acid is attached (by aminoacyl-tRNA synthetases). tRNAs cope with the degeneracy of the genetic code in two manners: having more than one tRNA (with a specific anti-codon) for a particular amino acid; and 'wobble' base-pairing, i.e. permitting non-standard base-pairing at the 3rd anti-codon position. The record is from RNAcentral. RNAcentral also lists the same sequence under 4 other names. Lineage: Bacteria; Pseudomonadati; Bacteroidota.